GGGGGGGGGGGGGGGGGGGGGGGGGGGGGGCGGGGCGGGCGAGCGGGCGGGGGGGGUGCUCCUGUGACGUGAGCGGCGGACGGGUGAGGAACACGUGGAUAACCUACCUAUAGGACGGGGAUAACUUCGGGAAACCGGAGCUAAUACCGGAUAAUAUAUGGAACCGCAUGGUUCAAUAGUGAAAGACGGUUUUGCUGUCACUUAUAGAUGGAUCCGCGCCGCAUUAGCUAGUUGGUAAGGUAACGGCUUACCAAGGCAACGAUGCGUAGCCGACCUGAGAGGGUGAGCGGCCACACUGGAACUGAGACACGGUCCAGACUCCUACGGGAGGCAGCAGUAGGGAAUCUUCCGCAAUGGGCGAAAGCCUGACGGAGCAACGCCGCGUGAGUGAUGAAGGUCUUCGGAUCGUAAAACUCUGUUAUUAGGGAAGAACAAAUGUGUAAGUAACUAUGCACGUCUUGACGGUACCUAAUCAGAAAGCCACGGCUAACUACGUG
Molecule: ribosomal RNA, 497 nt
Filed under: uncultured bacterium
Lineage: Bacteria
Description: partial 16S ribosomal RNA
Rfam family: Bacterial small subunit ribosomal RNA
Source: RNAcentral